GUGCAUUUUCCAUUUGCAAAUCCAACCAUACAAUAAAAGCUUUCUGAUUAUGAUUCUAGAUUCAGAUACUCAAACUAAAAAUACAGAUGAGCUCUAUGUUUCUCACCAAGCAAAGAACGAUUAUAAGACACAGAUGCAUGGGAUCCCCACAUUUUUCCCUUCCGCCGACUCCUGCUAUGAACCAAAGUCCAAAGCCAUCAAAAAUAGCAGAACGAAAGUCUCCC
Molecule: unclassified non-coding RNA, 224 nt
Filed under: Hevea brasiliensis (rubber tree)
Lineage: Eukaryota; Viridiplantae; Streptophyta; Magnoliopsida; Malpighiales; Euphorbiaceae
Source: RNAcentral